RNAcentral lists this ribosomal RNA (1546 nucleotides) under Capsicum annuum. Its description in RNAcentral is "SSU rRNA". The stretch from base 1 to 1155 matches the Rfam family "Eukaryotic small subunit ribosomal RNA". The record is from RNAcentral. Lineage: Eukaryota; Viridiplantae; Streptophyta; Magnoliopsida; Solanales; Solanaceae.
CCUGGUUGAUCCUGCCUGUAGGCACAUGCUUGUCUCAAUGAUUAAGCCAUGCAUGUGUAAGUAUGAACAAAUUCAGACUUUAAAAUUGCGAAUGGCUCAUUAAAUCAGUUAUAGUUUAUUUGAUGGUAUCUAAUACUCGGAUAACCAUAGUAAUUCUAGAGCUAAUACGUGCAACAAACCCCGACGUCUAGAAGGGAUGCAUUUAUUAGACAAAAGUUCGACACGGGCUCUGCCCGUUGCUGCGAUGAUUCAUGAUAACUCGACGGAUCGUACGGCCAUCGUGCCGGUGACGCAUCAUUCAAAUUUCUGCCCUAUCUAGUUUCGAUGGUAGGAUAGUGGACUACCAUGGUGGUGACGGAUGACGGAGAAUUAGGGUUCAAUUCCAGAGAGGGAGCCUAAGAAACAGCUACCACAUCUAAGGAAGGCAGCAGACGCGCAAAUUACCCAAUUCUGACACGGGGAGGUAGUGACAAUAAAUAAUAAUACCGGGCUCAAUGAGUCUGGUAAUUGGAAUGAGUACAAUCUAAAUCCCUUAACAAGGAUCCAUUGGAGGGAAAGUCGGGUGCCAGCAGCUGCGGUAAUUCCAUCUCCAAUAGCGUAUAUUUAAGUUGUUGCAGUUAAAAAGCUCGUAGUUGAACUUUGGGAUUGGCCGGCCGGUCAGCCUAUGGUGUGCACCAGUCGUCUCGUCCCUUCUGUCGGCGAUGCGCUCCUGACCUUAACUGGUCGGGUCGUGCCUCCGGCACUAUUACUUUGAAGAAAUUAUAGUGCUCAAAGCAAGUCUAAGCUCUGUAUACAUUAGCAUGGGAUAACACUAUAGGAUUUCGGUCCUAUUACGUUGGCCUUCGGGAUCAGAGUAAUAAUUAACAGGGACAGUCGGGGGCAUUCAUAUUUCAUAGUCAAAGGAGAAUUUAUUAGAUUUAUGAAAUACGAACAAUUGCAAAAGCAUUUUCCAGGGAUGUUUUCAUUAAUCAAGAACGAAAGUUGGGGGCUCGAAGACGAUCAGAUACCGUCCUAGUCUCAACCAUAAACGAUGCCGACCAGGGAUCGGCGGAUGUUGCUUUUAGGACUCCGCCGGCACCUUAUGAGAAAUCAAAGUUUUUGGGUUCCGGGGGGAGUAUGGUCGCAAGGCUGAANACGCGUGAGUUGUGUUCAGUAUGUGCAUUUAGGUUGGUUCACUGCUCAAGCAACAAUGUUUUGACCCGCCUGCCAUCUUAGUCAUGGGGCAAACGUAAUUUAGGUUUGCUCGAAGACGGUUUCCUGCGCUGCAUACCCAAUGCCCAGGCAUUAUCAAGUUUUAUCGAUCGCCUUUCGCCCUUCAAAUUUUGUGCGUGGGUUGAAUCAAAAGGCCGCCCUCGUGUCCCACUCCUUCCUCGCUUUGUUGUACGGUGAUGGUCCAUGAGCAGCGAUCAGGAUUCUCGGAUGCGCUAGACAUAGUGGGCAUGGGGUCUUUAUCGACUCCUAUCUGCCCUGUAUGAUGCUCCUUGAAAAUGAUGGUUGCGCUCGCCUUGAAUCCAUCUGCGCCCUCACAGGUAGGCCAGGCUCAUGC